CACCAGCGCCACGAGUGGCUAUCACAAUUAUUGGGCCUAAAGCGUCCGUAGUCGGUUCGGUGCAUCCUCUGUGAAAUCGCAGCGCUUAACGUUGCGGCAUGCGGAGGACACGGCCGAGCUUGAGACCGGGAGGCGUCGGGGGUAUUCCACGGGGACCGGUAAAAUGGUAUAAUCCGUGGAGGACCACCUGUGGCGAAGGCGCCCGACGAGCACGGAUCUGACGAUGAGGGACGAAAGCCAGGGGAGCAAA
This 250-nucleotide ribosomal RNA is filed under the name uncultured archaeon. Its description in RNAcentral is "partial 16S ribosomal RNA". It matches the Rfam family "Archaeal small subunit ribosomal RNA", at positions 474 to 723 of the family's 1478-position model. The record is from RNAcentral.